CCCUACGGGUGGCUGCAGUGAGGAAUAUUGGUCAAUGGACGCAAGUCUGAACCAGCCAUGCCGCGUGCAGGAAGACGGUCCUAUGGAUUGUAAACUGCUUUUGUACGGGAAGAAACACUCCUACGUGUAGGAGCCUGACGGUACCGUAAGAAUAAGGAUCGGCUAACUCCGUGCCAGCAGCCGCGGUAAUACGGAGGAUCCAAGCGUUAUCCGGAAUCAUUGGGUUUAAAGGGUCCGUAGGCGGUUUAAUAAGUCAGUGGUGAAAUCUGGUCGCUCAACGAUCAAACUGCCAUUGAUACUGUUAGACUUGAAUUACUGUGAAGUAACUAGAAUAUGUAGUGUAGCGGUGAAAUGCUUAGAUAUUACAUGGAAUACCAAUUGCGAAGGCAGGUUACUAACAGUUGAUUGACGCUGAUGGACGAAAGCGUGGGGAGCGAACAGGAUUAGAUACCCUUGUAGUCCUA
This 464-nucleotide ribosomal RNA is filed under the name uncultured Flavobacterium sp. RNAcentral's name for it is "bacterial SSU rRNA". It matches the Rfam family "Bacterial small subunit ribosomal RNA", at positions 337 to 798 of the family's 1533-position model. The record is from RNAcentral. Lineage: Bacteria; Pseudomonadati; Bacteroidota; Flavobacteriia; Flavobacteriales; Flavobacteriaceae.